Mytilus californianus (California mussel) is the source of this 262-nucleotide long non-coding RNA. RefSeq lists it as uncharacterized. NCBI's taxonomy places the organism in Eukaryota, Metazoa, Mollusca, Bivalvia, Mytilida, Mytilidae. The transcript has 2 exons. The record is from RefSeq and is a predicted model, not a curated record.
GACAUAUAGAUCAUAAAAUAUUUCCAUACACCAAAUAUAGUUGAACUAUUGCAUAUAGUAUUAGAAAAAAAGACCAAAACUCAAAAACUUAACUUUGACCACUGAACCAUGAAAAUGAGGUCAAGGUCAGAUGACACCUGCCAGCUAGACAUGUACACCUUACAAUCAUUCCAUACACCAAAUAUAGUAGACCUAUUGCAUACAGUAUAAGAAAAACAGACCAAAACACAAAAACUUAACUAUAACCACUGAACCAUGAAAA